Long non-coding RNA from Colossoma macropomum (tambaqui), 886 nucleotides. RefSeq lists it as uncharacterized. The record is from RefSeq and is a predicted model, not a curated record. Lineage: Eukaryota; Metazoa; Chordata; Actinopteri; Characiformes; Serrasalmidae. The transcript is spliced from 3 exons.
CCCUGGGAGCAGCACUGCUAUCAUGGAACAUGUGAGAUGAGGGGCUACUCACUUUUGACAGAUUUUUCCUGAAAGUGUGGAUUAAGACAAAAAUGCUGAGGACAGGACACUGACAAUGGAUGACAUUGCUGUUUUUACUGGAAUGAGGUCAUGAUGGCGUAGUUGAGGAGUACUGUCAGUCCAAAUCAUUUGCAGAUGACACUUUUGAGUGAAUAUGGAAUCAGUAGAAAGAAAAGGCCUGUACAAAAAGACCAUAUGAAAGUCAUGGCUUGGAGAAGAAUAAGGAGUCAUAUGAUGCUUUUUUAUUGCACUAUUGGGAAAGAAACUUAGUUUUGACCUGGAGGAAGCCAGAUGUUCAGAUGUUUGUUUCCAUGGAUUUAAUUUUUUAAUAUUCACUUCAUAACUUUAUGACUUUUGCUAACCUUUUUUCUGGAUAUGGAGGCUGCCUUGUAACAGUGAUAUGGAUAAAGUCAUCAGGUGGAUGGGUACCUGCGUGGUGAAUGGAGGUCAGGUGGAAGAUCCUGCUCUUCUGUUUCGUCCUCUAGUGCUGUGGUCUGGUUACUGGUGUGGAGAAAAGGGUCAAAAUCCAGCAGGUUCUGUCAUGGCAAAUUCCCUCCCCUAUCAUACAAUGCUACCAAACUGAGAGGGUGAAGGCUGAAAUAAAGCACAUGCUCCCUCUGAAUCACCUGACGUCACCGCAUCUUUUCCAGCUGCCACUAACUCAUCUUCACUGGAAAGCUCAACAUGCUUGGAGGAGAACACUAUCCGCCAAACUUAACAGAUGCCCAUGUUGGUUAGCACUGCGCUUAGUGAUGGCCAGAGAGGGAGUGCCGUCCUGUUCAUCCAGGGAGAGGACUCCCAGCAACGGAUGACUGGGGCAUCGCUG